CAGAGGAGGGUUCAGAUUGCAAUACCAUCAUGGAACGCCUUGUCUUUUCAGAACCUUUGAAUCGUACAUCCCAAAGCAACCGAUUCUGUAUUGAAAAGCCCGAAGAAGAUCCAUCCAUUAUCAUCAAUCAAAAAUCAAUGUUCAUCAAGAAACGGAGAGGCAAAAGAAAGAUCAGCAAAUUCUGCGGAUUCUGAUGAAAAAAAGCGCGCCACAACGAAGUGGUAGCCCAGUUUUUAGCGAUCAUUCAUUCGUUCGUUCGUUCUCAGCUAUGAAUUCAGAAGGACAGAGAGAAAAGGAGUCUGCUCUAAAUCGCACAAACAGGCAUUGUAGAAAUUGGGGAGCUCAGAAUGAGGGACCAUGUGACAGCCUCACGAGGCCGGCCGGCAGUCGCCUUAAGACACGCGUGUGUGCGCGCGCACCAAGUGUUUGACAAAAUGCCAAAACCAACAGAACAAACUGAGAAGAAACCUUCAACAUUCUAAACAGAUUACAAAAUCCUCAGAGAUCGAAA
This is a non-coding RNA of Cucurbita pepo subsp. pepo (vegetable marrow), 511 nucleotides long. NCBI's taxonomy places the organism in Eukaryota, Viridiplantae, Streptophyta, Magnoliopsida, Cucurbitales, Cucurbitaceae. The record is from RefSeq and is a predicted model, not a curated record.